ACGCUCGACACCUACGGGAAGGCAGCAGUGGGGAAUAUUGCACAAUGGGGGAAACCCUGAUGCAGCGACGCCGCGUGAGCGAAGAAGUAUCUCGGUAUGUAAAGCUCUAUCAGCAGGGAAGAAGAUGACGGUACCUGACUAAGAAGCACCGGCUAAAUACGUGCCAGCAGCCGCGGUAAUCUGAGCGGGCUGGCAAGGC
RNAcentral lists this ribosomal RNA (199 nucleotides) under uncultured bacterium. Its description in RNAcentral is "partial 16S ribosomal RNA". It matches the Rfam family "Bacterial small subunit ribosomal RNA", at positions 328 to 539 of the family's 1533-position model. The record is from RNAcentral.